Molecule: ribosomal RNA, 1372 nt
Filed under: uncultured bacterium
Lineage: Bacteria
Description: bacterial SSU rRNA
Rfam family: Bacterial small subunit ribosomal RNA
Source: RNAcentral
GAUUGAACGCUGGCGGUAUGCUUAACACAUGCAAGUCGAACGGAAACGAUACUAGCUUGCUAGUAGGCGUCGAGUGGCGGACGGGUGAGUAACGCGUAGGAAUCUGCCUGAUAGUGGGGGAUAGCCCGAAGAAAUUCGGAUUAAUACCGCAUAAUCUAUUCGUAGUAAAGUGGGGGACUUUCGAGCCUCACGCUAUCAGAUGAGCCUGCGUAAGAUUAGCUUGUUGGUGGGGUAAAAGCCCACCAAGGCGACGAUCUUUAGCUGGUCUGAGAGGAUGAUCAGCCACAUCGGGACUGAGACACGGCCCGAACUCCUACGGGAGGCAGCAGUGGGGAAUAUUGGACAAUGGGGGCAACCCUGAUCCAGCAAUACCGCGUGUGUGAAGAAGGCCUGAGGGUUGUAAAGCACUUUCAAUUGUGAAGAAAAGUUAGCGGUUAAUAACCGUUAGCCUUGACGUUAACUUUAGAAGAAGCACCGGCUAACUCCGUGCCAGCAGCCGCGGUAAUACGGAGGGUGCAAGCGUUAAUCGGAAUUACUGGGCGUAAAGCGUGCGUAGGCGGUUUAUUAAGUCAGAUGUGAAAGCCCCGGGCUUAACCUGGGAACUGCAUUUGAAACUGGUCAACUAGAGUAUGGUAGAGGAAAGUGGAAUUUCUGGUGUAGCGGUGAAAUGCGUAGAUAUCAGAAGGAACAUCAAUGGCGAAGGCAGCUUUCUGGACCAAUACUGACGCUGAGGUACGAAAGCGUGGGUAGCAAACAGGAUUAGAUACCCUGGUAGUCCACGCCGUAAACGAUGAUAACUAGCCGUUGGGGGGAUUUACCCUUUAGUGGCGAAGCUAACGCGUUAAGUUAUCCGCCUGGGGAGUACGGCCGCAAGGUUAAAACUCAAAGGAAUUGACGGGGACCCGCACAAGCGGUGGAGCAUGUGGUUUAAUUCGAUGCAACGCGAAGAACCUUACCUGGUCUUGACAUCCUGCGAACUUUCUAGAAAUAGAUUGGUGCCUUCGGGAACGCAGUGACAGGUGCUGCAUGGCUGUCGUCAGCUCGUGUCGUGAGAUGUUGGGUUAAGUCCCGUAACGAGCGCAACCCCUAUCCUUAUUUGCCAGCACAUUAUGGUGGGAACUAUAAGGAGACUGCCGGUGAUAAACCGGAGGAAGGCGGGGACGACGUCAAGUCAUCAUGGCCCUUACGACCAGGGCUACACACGUGCUACAAUGGGAAGGACAAAGAGCCGCGAAGCCGCGAGGUGUAGCUAAUCUCAUAAACCUUUUCGUAGUCCGGAUUGGAGUCUGCAACUCGACUCCAUGAAGUCGGAAUCGCUAGUAAUCGUAGAUCAGAAUGCUACGGUGAAUACGUUCCCGGGUCUUGUACACAC